Molecule: ribosomal RNA, 253 nt
Filed under: uncultured bacterium
Lineage: Bacteria
Description: partial 16S ribosomal RNA
Rfam family: Bacterial small subunit ribosomal RNA
Source: RNAcentral
UACGAAGGGGGCUAGCGUUGUUCGGAAUUACUGGGCGUAAAGCGCACGUAGGCGGACUAUUAAGUCAGGGGUGAAAUCCCGGGGCUCAACCCCGGAACUGCCUUUGAUACUGGUAGUCUUGAGUCCGGAAGAGGUGAGUGGAAUUCCGAGUGUAGAGGUGAAAUUCGUAGAUAUUCGCAAGAACACCAGUGGCGAAGGCGGCUCACUGGCCCGAUACUGACGCUGAGGCACGAAAGCGUGGGGAGCAAACAGG